Molecule: small RNA, 484 nt
Filed under: Pongo abelii (Sumatran orangutan)
Lineage: Eukaryota; Metazoa; Chordata; Mammalia; Primates; Hominidae
Description: processed transcript
Source: RNAcentral
GGUUUCUUAUAGAUGGCUUUUAUUACAUUGAGGUGGAGCCAGAGCAUGUGAUGGGAGCACCGGGCCUGAGCUGCAGCAUAAGUUUCCUCUGAUUUUCAACCUGGAAGACGAUAUCGCAGAAGCCGUGCCUCUAGAAAGAGGUGGUGCGGAGUACCAGGCCAUGCUGCCCCAGGUCAGAAAGGUUCUUGCAGACGUCCUCCAAGACAUUGCCAAUGACAACAUCUCCAGCGCAGAUUACACUCAGGACCCUUCAGUAACUCCCUGCUGUAAUCCCUACCAAAUUGCCUGCCGCUGUCAAGCUGCAUAACAGACCAAUUUUUAUUCCACAAGGAGGAAUAUUUGGGAAUUAGACAGAUGAUUACCACAUGCUGAGGGCGCCUGACACAGAGCCCGGUGCAGAGCACUUGCCCACUAGAGGUUUGCCACUGAGACUGCCAGUGAAGAACAAAUCAACGCAAGGGCACUGAAGCUUGUCGUUGUUCUU